AACAGGAUUAGAUACCCUGGUAGUCCACGCCGUAAACGAUGUCGACUUGGAGGUUGUGCCCUUGAGGCGUGGCUUCCGGAGCUAACGCGUUAAGUCGACCGCCUGGGGAGUACGGCCGCAAGGUUAAAACUCAAAUGAAUUGACGGGGGCCCGCACAAGCGGUGGAGCAUGUGGUUUAAUUCGAUGCAACGCGAAGAACCUUACCUGGUCUUGACAUCCACAGAACCUUCCAGAGAUGGAUUGGUGCCUUCGGGAACUGUGAGACAGGUGCUGCAUGGCUGUCGUCAGCUCGUGUUGUGAAAUGUUGGGUUAAGUCCCGCAACGAGCGCAACCCUUAUCCUUUGUUGCCAGCGGUCCGGCCGGGAACUCAAAGGAGACUGCCAGUGAUAAACUGGAGGAAGGUGGGGAUGACGUCAAGUCAUCAUGGCCCUUACGACCAGGGCUACACACGUGCUACAAUGGCGCAUACAAAGAGAAGCGACCUCGCGAGAGCAAGCGGACCUCAUAAAGUGCGUCGUAGUCCGGAUUGGAGUCUGCAACUCGACUCCAUGAAGUCGGAAUCGCUAGUAAUCGUGGAUCAGAAUGCCACGGUGAAUACGUUCCCGGGCCUUGUACACACCGCCCGUCACACCAUGGGAGUGGGUUGCAAAAGAAGUAGGUAGCUUAACCUUCGGGAGGGCGCUUACCACUUUGUGAUUCAUGACUGGGGUGAAGUCGUAACAAGGUAACC
RNAcentral lists this ribosomal RNA (730 nucleotides) under uncultured bacterium. RNAcentral describes it as "bacterial SSU rRNA". It matches the Rfam family "Bacterial small subunit ribosomal RNA", at positions 771 to 1501 of the family's 1533-position model. The record is from RNAcentral.